GAUGAACGCUGGCGGCGUGCUUAACACACGCAAGUCGAACGGUGAAGGCGGAGCUUGCUCUGCUGGAUCAGUGGCGAACGGGUGAGUAACACGUGAGCAAUCUGCCCCUGACUCUGGGAUAAGCGCUGGAAACGGCGUCUAAUACUGGAUACGAGCUGCGAAGGCAUCUUCAGCAGCUGGAAAGAACUUCGGUCAGGGAUGAGCUCGCGGCCUAUCAGCUUGUUGGUGAGGUAACGGCUCACCAAGGCGUCGACGGGUAGCCGGCCUGAGAGGGUGACCGGCCACACUGGGACUGAGACACGGCCCAGACUCCUACGGGAGGCAGCAGUGGGGAAUAUUGCACAAUGGGCGAAAGCCUGAUGCAGCAACGCCGCGUGAGGGACGACGGCCUUCGGGUUGUAAACCUCUUUUAGCAGGGAAGAAGCGAAAGUGACGGUACCUGCAGAAAAAGCGCCGGCUAACUACGUG
Molecule: ribosomal RNA, 468 nt
Filed under: uncultured bacterium
Lineage: Bacteria
Description: partial 16S ribosomal RNA
Rfam family: Bacterial small subunit ribosomal RNA
Source: RNAcentral